RNAcentral lists this non-coding RNA (151 nucleotides) under Phoenicopterus ruber ruber. RNAcentral describes it as "Eukaryotic large subunit ribosomal RNA". It matches the Rfam family "Eukaryotic large subunit ribosomal RNA", at positions 2832 to 2984 of the family's 3401-position model. The record is from Rfam by way of RNAcentral. Lineage: Eukaryota; Metazoa; Chordata; Aves; Phoenicopteriformes; Phoenicopteridae.
GUUUUGAAAUGUUGAUGUUCAUAGCGAUGCCGCUUUUUGAUCCUUCGGUGUCUGCUCUUCCUAUCAUUGUGAAGCAGAACUCACCAAGCUUUGGAUUAGUCACCCACUAAUAGGGAAUGUGAACUGGGUUUAGACUGUUGUGAGACAAGUU